UAGCUACUGUAAAAUGAAAGCUGAAAUAGCUCUAUGCGUGACAUCAGUCAGCCAUUGUUUCUGAGUGGCUGGACAGCAGCAGCCGCACCACGCAGGCUUUACACAUUUACCAGGCGGAAGAAAAAGUAGCUCCCAUUUAGGCAAGAAUAAUUAUCGUCUGUAUUUCAGCGUCUGAGACUCUCGACAAGGAAAAUAAGAGCUUCAGCGUACCCUGAGAAGCAGUUGGCGUUGGUCAGCACGUCUCUCUCAGACACCAGCGUCCCUCCACACACGUGCUGGCCGUUCUUCUGUAAGCUGGCCAUCCACGGCCACUCACCGGCCGACGCCACAGACACUCCACCCGAAAUCCUAGAAGCCAGUGGGGCCUGUCCACAGACCACACCUGGAGGAGGAAGACACAGAAACAGGUUGGAUCAGCUGCUGCGACACCAAAAUGGUCGUAUCCAACCUGCAACAGCAUGCAGGAGUCUGGCUUGCUUUCAUUUUUCACAGCAAAGAAUAAUAUGCUCUCCAACAGUGUUACAGCGCCACCCAUUGGCCCGCCGGUCCUA
Molecule: long non-coding RNA, 551 nt
Organism: Xiphophorus maculatus (southern platyfish)
Lineage: Eukaryota; Metazoa; Chordata; Actinopteri; Cyprinodontiformes; Poeciliidae
Exons: 5
Source: RefSeq, a predicted model, not a curated record